This 557-nucleotide ribosomal RNA is filed under the name uncultured bacterium. RNAcentral describes it as "bacterial SSU rRNA". It matches the Rfam family "Bacterial small subunit ribosomal RNA", at positions 63 to 617 of the family's 1533-position model. The record is from RNAcentral.
CGAACGAUUCUUGAGUAGCUUGCUAUUCAAGAAGAGUGGCGAACGGGUGAGUAACACGUGAGUAAUCUCCCCUCGAGUGAGGAAUAACCACGCGAAAGCGUGGCUAAUACCGCAUGAUACUCUGGAGCAUAAGCUUUCAGAGUCAAAGCCCUCGGGCGCUUAGGGAUGAGCUUGCGUCCAGAGCUAGUUGGUGGGGUAAUGGCCUACCAAGGUAAUGAUGGGUAGCCGGCCUGAGAGGGUGUACGGCCACACUGGAACUGCGACACGGUCCAGACUCCUACGGGAGGCAUGCAGUGGGGAAUUUUGCGCAAUGGGCGAAAGCCUGACGCAGCUGACGCCGCGUGGAGGAUUAAGGCCUUCGGGUUGUAAACUCCUGUCAGAGGUGAAGAAUACCCCUUAGGGGGUUUGACGGUAACCUCAGAGGAAGCCCCGGCUAACUCGUGCCAACAGUCCGCGGUAAUACGUAGGGGGGCAAACGUUGCUUGGAUUACUGGGGCGUUAAGGGUUGUGUAAGUGGCUAAUCAAGUUUGUUGAUCAAAUCUCGAGGCUCACCCUCG